RNAcentral lists this ribosomal RNA (397 nucleotides) under uncultured bacterium. Its description in RNAcentral is "partial 16S ribosomal RNA". It matches the Rfam family "Bacterial small subunit ribosomal RNA", at positions 523 to 918 of the family's 1533-position model. The record is from RNAcentral.
AUACGUAGGGGGCGAGCGUUGUCCGGAAUGAUUGGGCGUAAAGGGCGCGUAGGCGGCCUGCUAAGUCUGGAGUGAAAGUCCUGUUUUCAAGAUGGGAAUUGCUUUGGAUACUGAUGGGCUUGAGUGCAGGAGAGGUUAUCGGAAUUCCCGGUGUAGCGGUGAAAUGCGUAGAGAUCGGGAGGAACACCAGUGGCGAAGGCGGGUAACUGGACUGCAACUGACGCUGAGGCGUGAAAGUGUGGGGAGCAAACAGGAUUAGAUACCCUGGUAGUCCACACUGUAAACGAUGAAUGCUAGGUGUAAGAGGUAUCGACCCCUUUUGUGCCGGAGUUAACACAAUAAGCAUUCCGCCUGGGGAGUACGGCCGCAAGGUUUAAACUCAAAGGAAUUGACGGGG